Molecule: transfer RNA, 72 nt
Filed under: Cavia porcellus (domestic guinea pig)
Lineage: Eukaryota; Metazoa; Chordata; Mammalia; Rodentia; Caviidae
Rfam family: tRNA
About the family: Transfer RNA (tRNA) molecules are approximately 80 nucleotides in length. Their secondary structure includes four short double-helical elements and three loops (D, anti-codon, and T loops).
Source: Rfam by way of RNAcentral
GGGGGUGUGGCUCAGUGGUGGAGCAUGGGCUUAACACGUGUGAAGACCUGGGUUCCAUCCCCAGCACACACG